RNAcentral lists this ribosomal RNA (377 nucleotides) under uncultured bacterium. RNAcentral describes it as "bacterial SSU rRNA". It matches the Rfam family "Bacterial small subunit ribosomal RNA", at positions 523 to 898 of the family's 1533-position model. The record is from RNAcentral.
AUACGUAGGGGGCGAGCGUUGUCCGAAUUUACUGGGCGUAAAGCGCGUGUAGGCGGUUCUUUAAGUCAGAUGUGAAAUCCUGUGGCUCAACCACAGAACUGCAUUUGAAACUGAAGGGCUUGAGUGUGGGAGAGGAAAGUGGAAUUCCUGGUGUAGCGGUGAAAUGCGUAGAUAUCAGGAGGAACACCCGUGGCGAAGGCGGCUUUCUGGCCCACCACUGACGCUGAGACGCGAAAGCUAGGGGAGCGAACGGGAUUAGAUACCCCGGUAGUCCUAGCCGUAAACGAUGGAUACUAGGUGUAAGAGGUAUCGACCCCUCUUGUGCCGUAGCUAACGCAUUAAGUAUCCCGCCUGGGGAGUACGGCCGCAAGGUUGAA